AGAACGAACGCUGGCGGCAGGCUUAACACAUGCAAGUCGAACGGGCACUUCGGUGUCAGUGGCAGACGGGUGAGUAACACGUGGGAACGUACCCUUUGGUUCGGGAUAACGCAGGGAAACUUGCGCUAAUACCGGAUACGCCCUUUUGGGGAAAGGUUUACUGCCGAAGGAUCGGCCCGCGUCCGAUUAGCUAGUUGGUGUUGGUAACGGCUCACCAAGGCGACGAUCGGUAGCUGGUCUGAGAGGAUGACCAGCCACAUUGGGACUGAGACACGGCCCAAACUCCUACGGGAGGCAGCAGUGGGGAAUAUUGGACAAUGGGCGCAAGCCUGAUCCAGCCAUGCCGCGUGAGUGAUGACGGCCUUAGGGUUGUAAAGCUCUUUCGCGCACGACGAUAAUGACGGUAGUGCGAGAAGAAGCCCCGGCUAACUUCGCGCCAGCAGCCGC
This 447-nucleotide ribosomal RNA is filed under the name uncultured bacterium. RNAcentral's name for it is "SSU rRNA". It matches the Rfam family "Bacterial small subunit ribosomal RNA", at positions 26 to 518 of the family's 1533-position model. The record is from RNAcentral.